UGGGGAAUUUUGGACAAUGGGCGCAAGCCUGAUCCAGCAAUGCCGCGUGCAGGAUGAAGGCCUUCGGGUUGUAAACUGCUUUUGUACGGAACGAAAAGCUUCUGGUUAAUACCUGGGAGUCAUGACGGUACCGUAAGAAUAAGCACCGGCUAACUACGUGCCAGCAGCCGCGGUAAUACGUAGGGCGCGAGCGUUAAUCGGAAUUACUGGGCGUAAAGCGUGCGCAGGCGGUUAUGUAAGACAGAGGUGAAAUCCCCGGGCUCAACCUGGGAACUGCCUUUGUGACUGCAUGGCUAGAGUGCGGCAGAGGGGGAUGGAAUUCCGCGUGUAGCAGUGAAAUGCGUAGAUAUGCGGAGAAACACCGAUGGCGAGGGCAAUCCCCUGGGCCUGCACUGACGCUCAUGCACGAAAGCGUGGGGAGCAAACA
This 427-nucleotide ribosomal RNA is filed under the name uncultured bacterium. Its description in RNAcentral is "bacterial SSU rRNA". It matches the Rfam family "Bacterial small subunit ribosomal RNA", at positions 355 to 774 of the family's 1533-position model. The record is from RNAcentral.